Molecule: long non-coding RNA, 2809 nt
Organism: Larimichthys crocea (large yellow croaker)
Lineage: Eukaryota; Metazoa; Chordata; Actinopteri; Sciaenidae
Exons: 4
Source: RefSeq, a predicted model, not a curated record
UGUCGCGGGUGUAUUUUGGCACAAGGAAAGGAAUAUCCUGGAAUAUAUUUUGAAAGCGAUGCUGAAGCAGAUGCCCUGCAAUUUGGAUAAUGACAGUACGCAUCUCCUCAUCCAGCAGUGGAAGGAAUCCAAAUUCUUGGAAUGAGAUGUCAACCUUUAAUUGCUGCCCCGGGAUCUUCUGAUGAUCUCAGGUGAGCACAGAGAAGAGCUGACUAAUGGAAACAUGAUCUCAAGAGAUUCAACAGUCAUGACAGCAGGGUAAAGAAUGCAGUGGCACAGAGAUAUCACUUCAAACACGGCGUCUCUCAGGAGCCUCAGAUCCUUUCAGUGGAACUGAAUGAAGAUGUGCUUUGAUGACCCACCACAGAGUCGGUGGCCUUCAAAGAAACCUGUUGAUGGGCUUGUGCGGGGCAGCCAGCAGGCUGAAUGAGUGGUACUGUAUACGUGCACCUCCCAGGGUUGCUGUGGGUGUUCUCAAUAGAGGUCAAACAUGCUUGACCCUAACAUGAGUAGUCUUUUUCUAUAGAUUUUAGGCUUGCUUUACCUUCUUUCUUUUUUCUUUUUUUUCCCCCUUCUGCCAGGCAUUCUGGGUAAAUGAAGGGGAACUGUGUGUGUGGAUGGCAUGGUGCCAGCAGACAGGUACAGUAGAUGUGCUGAUGAGGGAGGAAGAUAGGGGCCGGCCUCAGUCGCUGCCCGAGGCACAGACAGGCGUACACAGGCAGGCGUAGACUCAGAGGCAGGUUGGGACCUGGUUCUGUGUGCUGAUGCUGCUCUACGGGCAUAGGAGAGAAACGUGGGAAGUGAAAAAAACAGAAUGGAGGGUAUAUGGAGAGAUAGACAAAGUCAAGCAAAAGGAUGAUUGUUGAGUGGCGAAGCUGAAAAGGCAUACAACCAAAAUAUGAGGGUCGAUAAUAGAGUGUUAACAAAAAGCAGAGUAUUUGUAUCUUAGGAAGCUGGAAAGAGAUGAUGAUGUGUGAAGCCCAGAGGCAAGAGAAAGCAAGAAGUAGAUUAAGAACGAGUACAAGAGUGAGGCCACAUCCUGUAUGCUGGUGGAACGUGACUCCCUGCAGGUAAACCCAGCUCAGAGGUUAAGACAGGCAGAAAGAAGAUGAGAAACACUGAUGGAUGACUACUUAUCCUCUGACACAUGGGCAAAAAACAGGCGGGACAGGCCAGUCCUGUCUCUCUGCUGCCAUGACAACCGCAAGGCUGAUUGGAUGGUGUUCAGGGGCGAAAUGUCAUUUUGUGGGAGGUUGAAUGCGCAAGCACAGGUAACACAGAGUACAGGUUGUUCAGAGGCCACCUACCUGCAUUACCUCACCUUCUGACGUUGUGAAAGAAGCAGAUGUUGUACUCUGAUCAACACAACUAUGCAGCUGUUGUUCCCGAUAUGAAACAAUUUUCUCAUCAUCUUCCUUAACACACUUUAAUUCUAGAUAAAAGUUCUAGAUAAAAGGGAUAUUUUGUUUCUUUAAUCAUUGAAAAUGAGACACAUCUCUCUAAUCAGGAUUUUGUUGGCCUGAAGUGAUACAAGGGUGACAUCUUAAUUCUGGUGUUGGACUGAAAAGUAGCUCACUCCAGCUGCACUGUAAGACCUUGUGAUCCAUAUCCACACUGCUGGAAGUAAAAUACACAGGCUGGCUUUUGCCACCACACAUAAUGUGAUAAUUUCAGCUGUGGAUGAGGCUCUGGGUGGUUCAUCUGCAACUUCUUUAUGCCAGUUUGAAUCCUCAAGUUUUUACAUGUGGAAAGUCUGUGAAAGCAGCCAAAUCCUAUCUGUUAAAGGAAUUAGGAGAGCAGACGUUAAUGUUGAUCAAUUUUGGGUGUUGUAUGAAAGUGAUCACAGCAGUUACUUUUAAUGUUUUAUUGCCAGAAAUUUUUAAAUACCUAUAAUUUUCUUUAGCAUGCAAACAUGUGUCAAUGUUCAAGCUUCAAGUGGUUUUUGGCCUCAGUCAAUCAUUAGUUUCUGUAUUAUGUUUCUAGGAUCAUACUAAAUCCUGGUUUGGACUAUGGACCAGCAUCCCCUACAGCAGAUGUUUGCUCCUGGCAUGGCUGCGAAACAGCGUGAAGCUCCAUCGCUGACAAUCUCGCGCUAAGAAUCCAGCGCCAGCAGUUUGGACUUGGAGAAGCUGUGACAUAAACUCAGCGGGACAGUGGAGUGUAUUCUGUUGCUCAGACAUUAUGGAACAGAUCAGUCAAUCCUCAUCUGGAGAGCCGCUCGAUAGGAAAGUCAGCUCGAUGAAUGUACAUUUACCACAAAGGAUCUACACAUUGUUUGACUUUUUCUAAAUUGAAGCUGGAUUAAUAUUUUCCCAUAAUAUACAUCUGCUUUUGAUAUUCACUGUUUAUUCACGCUGUUGCUCAUACACUGCAGUUGUGACAUAUACUGUGUUAUUCUGGAUACAGUAUCAACAAGCGCUGGAACUGUAAAUGGAAAAUAAUCAAUCAGUUUUUCAUUUUUUUAGUCCUAUUUUUACAGGCUGAAGACUGAAGCUCUUACACCAGCGCAGUCGCAUACAAAGUUAAUAGACACUUGAACAUUUGUUAGAAGUAUUACUCAUUUACUGGAAAUGUAAAGUUAUCAUAUGACAUCUCAUAAUUGUGAUCACAAAGAAGCCAUUGUAAAGAAGGUGCUGAUGAAUGCAAACCAAAAACACUGUUGUUGACGUUUGAUGUGACACAUUGGCAGCUUGAGUUAAUAAUAAGAAAUCAUCCUGUCAAGGUGUGUAUGGUCAUGAUUUAUGGUCCCUUAACAUUUCUUGUGUCUGUAAAAUCCUGUCAGAAGAAAUAAUAAUAAAAAAAAAGUCUA